RNAcentral lists this small RNA (30 nucleotides) under Bombyx mori (domestic silkworm). Its description in RNAcentral is "ovarian small RNA-28860". Lineage: Eukaryota; Metazoa; Arthropoda; Insecta; Lepidoptera; Bombycidae. The record is from RNAcentral.
UCGCUGUCGAGUGCUGUCUACGAACAGCGC